CCCUUAGAUGUUCUGGGCCGCACGCGCGCUACACUGAUGCAUUCAACGAGUCUAAAACCUGCUCUGAUAGGGGUGGGUAAUCUUUUGAAUGUGCAUCGUGAUUGGGAUAGAUGAUUGCAAUUUUUCAUCUUCAACGAGGAAUGCCUAGUAAACGCAAGUCAUCAGCUUGCAUUGAUUACGUCCCUGCCCUUUGUACACACCGCCCGUCGCUACUACCGAUUGAAUGGCUUAGUGAGCCUUUGGGAUUGGCAGCUUGUACCGGCAACGGUAGCAGGCAGCCGAAAACUUAGGCAAACUUGGUCAUUUAGAGGAAGUAAAAGUCGUAACA
RNAcentral lists this ribosomal RNA (328 nucleotides) under uncultured eukaryote. Its description in RNAcentral is "partial 18S ribosomal RNA". It matches the Rfam family "Eukaryotic small subunit ribosomal RNA", at positions 1470 to 1796 of the family's 1831-position model. The record is from RNAcentral.